ACUUAGCCGGAUGAUCAUAGGAUCCCAAAAGAUCCGAGAUACAUCCAAAGAUUUAAAGUUUAUCACAGAGAAAUCGAUCCUUUUGUGCUAUUACGUUUGAUUAAACGGACAUUUCGAUUUGCCCUCCCAUGCAAAAUCUGGCGCAGCAAUUCAUAAGGAUAGAAAUUUAAUUUUGAGAAAUAGUAGCGAGAGAAUGAUAGAGAAAAUGAAAAAGGCUCUUUGGAAGAACAGAAAAUGACAAGGGCAUGUUAGCAUGGUAGCAGUGAGUAGCUGGCACGAUGUAUUUAAUUGCGAAAUUUACAGCAACAAACGAACCCAAUAAUAAAUAUAUACAUUUUCAUUAAUUUUUAAUAUAAUAUGCGCGCAUGUUAAUAAAAUGAAAGAGAUACGGAAUGUAAGUCGAAUAGAGAGAAGUUCGGCAGGUCAUUCAUUGAUCGAGGGCCACAUUAGUUCCAUAAUCCAAGUAUAAAAUUAAAUCGUUUGUAACGUGCAAAAUAAGCCUCGAAUGGCAUUUUUGUACAGGCUGUUCGAAAGAAGGAUUCUACACCGUAAAAUGAAAUUCAAGGUCAAGCCUUUUUCUAUUCCAUCGUAUUCCACUUCACGAGAAUAAAAAGUCUGGAUCGCAACUUAACCGUUCUACAAUGAAACUUUAAUUUAUUUUUCCAAAAAGAACAGUUCAGUUGCGAUCAACCAGUUCAGUUCGAACAACCUGUAUGUGCACGAAUCUUUUUAAUUAUCUUGAUACCUAGAAUCAUAGAUUAUACAUAUAUAUCUGGCCCUCUUUUUUCGACAAGCAAGGAGGAUAAUAGCAAUUCUAAUUUGUAAAAGAAU
Bombus impatiens (common eastern bumble bee) is the source of this 831-nucleotide long non-coding RNA. RefSeq lists it as uncharacterized. NCBI's taxonomy places the organism in Eukaryota, Metazoa, Arthropoda, Insecta, Hymenoptera, Apidae. The transcript has 3 exons. The record is from RefSeq and is a predicted model, not a curated record.